CCUACGGGGGGCAGCAAUGGGGAAUAUUGGACAAUGGGGGCAACCCUGAUCCAGCCAUGCCGCGUGUGUGAAGAAGGCCCUCGGGUUGUAAAGCACUUUCAGUGAGGAAGAACGCCUGGUGGUUAAUACCCAUCAGGAAAGACAUCACUCACAGAAGAAGCACCGGCUAACUCCGUGCCAGCAGCCGCGGUAAUACGGAGGGUGCGAGCGUUAAUCGGAAUUACUGGGCGUAAAGCGCGCGUAGGUGGCUUGAUAAGCCGGUUGUGAAAGCCCCGGGCUCAACCUGGGAACGGCAUCCGGAACUGUCAAGCUAGAGUGCAGGAGAGGAAGGUAGAAUUCCCGGUGUAGCGGUGAAAUGCGUAGAGAUCGGGAGGAAUACCAGUGGCGAAGGCGGCCUUCUGGACUGACACUGACACUGAGGUGCGAAAGCGUGGGUAGCAAACAGGAUUAGAUACCCCAGUAGUC
RNAcentral lists this ribosomal RNA (465 nucleotides) under Vreelandella stevensii. Its description in RNAcentral is "partial 16S ribosomal RNA". It matches the Rfam family "Bacterial small subunit ribosomal RNA", at positions 338 to 795 of the family's 1533-position model. Lineage: Bacteria; Pseudomonadati; Pseudomonadota; Gammaproteobacteria; Oceanospirillales; Halomonadaceae. The record is from RNAcentral.